UCUUUGUCCCGACGGUUGAAACCGUCGGCUAUAUUUCUGGAGCAUUUUUUUCAUUUGCUUUUAAAUAUAGCCCGAGGUUUCAACGUCGGGAGACGUA
This 97-nucleotide unclassified non-coding RNA is filed under the name Flavobacterium saccharophilum. RNAcentral's name for it is "Flavo-1 RNA". The record is from RNAcentral. Lineage: Bacteria; Pseudomonadati; Bacteroidota; Flavobacteriia; Flavobacteriales; Flavobacteriaceae.